AUACGGAGGGGGCUAGCGUUGUUCGGAAUUACUGGGCGUAAAGCGCGCGUAGGCGGCCAAGUAAGUUGGAGGUGAAAUCCCGGAGCUCAACUCCGGAACUGCCUUCAAAACUGCUUGGCUAGAGGCAGGGAGAGGAGAGCGGAAUACCCAGUGUAGAGGUGAAAUUCGUAGAUAUUGGGUGGAACACCGGUGGCGAAGGCGGCUCUCUGGCCCUGAUCUGACGCUAAGGCGCGAAAGCGUGGGGAGCAAACAGGAUUAGAAACCCCAGUAGUCC
RNAcentral lists this ribosomal RNA (274 nucleotides) under uncultured bacterium. RNAcentral's name for it is "partial 16S ribosomal RNA". It matches the Rfam family "Bacterial small subunit ribosomal RNA", at positions 523 to 796 of the family's 1533-position model. The record is from RNAcentral.